UACGUAGGGGGCAAGCGUUGUCCGGAAUCAUUGGGCGUAAAGCGCGUGUAGGCGGUUCGGUAAGUCGGCUGUGAAAGUCCAGGGCUCAACCCUGGGAUGCCGGUCGAUACUGCCGGACUAGAGUUCGGAAGAGGCGAGUGGAAUUCCCGGUGUAGCGGUGAAAUGCGCAGAUAUCGGGAGGAACACCAAUGGCGAAGGCAGCUCGCUGGGACGUUACUGACGCUGAGACGCGAAAGCGUGGGGAGCAAUCAGG
This 253-nucleotide ribosomal RNA is filed under the name uncultured bacterium. RNAcentral describes it as "partial 16S ribosomal RNA". It matches the Rfam family "Bacterial small subunit ribosomal RNA", at positions 524 to 776 of the family's 1533-position model. The record is from RNAcentral.